GUGUUCAGGGCUGGUUUUUGGACGUAAGAGACUUCUCCUGUUUCUACAGCUAAUAGAGAAGUCAGCUGGUGGAGGAUUCCAGAGGCUGUUUUUAGGACGUAAGAGACGUCUCCUGUUUCAACAGACCAUAGGAAGUCAGCUGGUGGAGUCUCCAGAGGCUGUUUUUAGGACGUGAGACGUCUCCUGUCAACAGCUAAUAGAGAAGUCAGCUGGUGGAGUCUCCAGAGGCUGUUUUAGGAUGUAAGAGACGUCUCCCUUUCAACAGCCAAUAGAAGUCAGUGUGGUGUCUCCAGAGGCUGUUUUU
Molecule: long non-coding RNA, 304 nt
Organism: Etheostoma spectabile (orangethroat darter)
Lineage: Eukaryota; Metazoa; Chordata; Actinopteri; Perciformes; Percidae
Exons: 2
Source: RefSeq, a predicted model, not a curated record